UAGGGAAUAUUGCAAAAUGGGCGAAAGCCCGAUGCAGCAACGCCGCGUGGGCGAUGAAGGCCUUCGGGCCGUAAAGCCCUUUUUGAGGGGAUGAGGAAGGACAGUACCCUCAGAAUAAGCCUCGGCUAACUACGUGCCAGCAGCCGCGGUAAAACGUAGGAGGCGAGCGUUAUCCGGAUUUACUGGGCGUAAAGCGCGUGCAGGCGGAUUGGAGAGUUGGAUGUGAAAGCUCCCGGCUUAACUGGGAGAGGUCGUUCAAUACUUCCAGUCUUGAGUGCAGUAGAGGGAAGUGGAAUUCCGGGUGUAGUGGUGAAAUGCGUAGAUAUCCGGAGGAACACCAGUGGCGAAAGCGGCUUCCUGGACUGUAACUGACGCUCAGACGCGAAAGCUAGGGUAGCAAACG
RNAcentral lists this ribosomal RNA (403 nucleotides) under uncultured bacterium. RNAcentral describes it as "bacterial SSU rRNA". It matches the Rfam family "Bacterial small subunit ribosomal RNA", at positions 355 to 774 of the family's 1533-position model. The record is from RNAcentral.